AGUCAGACAUACUUACUAAUUGGGGCCUUGAGCAAGUUGCUUAAUCUCACAGAAAUUCGGUUUCUGAUCUGAUCUAGAGAUAAAAAUACCCUCAUGACGACUGUAAGCAGUAAAGGGAUAAUGACUACAAAGGGUCUAGUGGCACCCAGUGUGUGAAGACACCCAAACCAUCAUCUAGAGACCAAGGUUCCUUCCUCACAAGCCCUCAGACCCUUAUGUCUACUCAGGAUCCUUGGCGGGAAGGGUGAUAUGCCUGGAAUAUUCCAGACAUACACAAUAGCAUGGCCAAUAUUUGUAUUAAAAUAUACAUCUGACAAAGUGCCUAAGUCACUGGACCCAAAGUACUCUGCUCCUUGAAAGGUUCCUGUGUAGGGUCCUCGUGCGUGCAGCUGUUUUGUAAUCUCACAGGCACUUUGCUGAAGGGACUCUGGGGCCACUGAGCCCUCUGUGACGUCAGGGGAGACGUGAGAGACAAACGUGGCAGCCACCGAGGAGGGGAAGUGAGGGUUUGCAUUCUUCUGUGCAGAGGGGAAACUGGGAGUCAGAGAGGUGAAAUGACUUAGACAAGGACACACAGAGAACAAGAGGCAGACGUCCUGGCUUUCUAGGCUGGCGCUCUUCCCAAACACUUGGGAACCUAAGCUACAAUCUUUGGAGAUUGUUUUACAGUCUGGAUUUUCUUGGGAUAAAUGUCUAGAUAAGCACUGGGGGUAGAAGCUGAGACCUCCAAAAGGACUAAUGAGAGGAGGGGAGGUUAUCUGCUUCUUCAGCAAGGGGCUGUGGCAGUAUAGGCAGAGUGGAGGAGGUCAAGAGAGAGUUAGGUACGGCCAGGAAGACAUCAGAGGGGGGUCCCUCCCUGAGUCGUGCUUCCCCACAGCCCCCACACUGUCAAUAAUAAAGGCUACUAAAAUCAGGAAAAGUCACCAAUGUGGCUUUUCUUGGGAAACUGACUACCAAAGAAGCUGUUUGGUGGCCAGGUUGGGCACGUGAAGGUGAAGACCCACAGAGACACUGAUGCUGAAGGUCCCCUGAGGAGGGACGCCCCAAAGGUUCCCAGCCCUCCCACAGAGGACUCUGGGGUGUCACAAGCCGGGAGACUGGUCAGGCCAAGUGUGGAAAGCUCUCCAAAGAGCAGGAGACCCUCCCACAUCUGUGUUACAGUGGCAAAAUCACUUGACAAGUGACCUGUGGCAAUCAGACAAAAGAAUGUAUCUAUCUUUUUACCAUCAAAAAAGACUUGCACAAAUACAUUAACAUCUGCACACACAGCGUUCCCGUUGUGGCGCAGCAGGAACGAACCCAACUAGGAUCCGUGAGGAUGCGGGUUCAAUCCCCAGCCUCACUCAGUGGGUUAAGGAUCCGGCAUUGCUGUGAGCUGUGGUGUAUGUUGCAGAUGUGGCUCAGAUCCUGUGCGGCUGUGGGCUGUGGCAUAGGCCGGCAGCUGCAGCUCUGAUUCGACCCCUAGCCUGGGAAUUUCCAUAUACCCUAUGAAUUUAUUUUGUUUAGUUUGUAUAAAUUAAUGUAUGGGUCAGAUUUAUUCUACUUUGGGGUAAAUCCUAUGUUUAUCUCAAGAAAUCUACAAUUUUGUCCUGAAAUGUGACAGAAUGAAAACCAAUGUAUGUGUUAUAUAUGAAAUGACUCAUGGUUGUUAACAAAAAUCAAAUACUCCCUUAAAAUAAAUAACUGCAAUUUUGUCAGCUAAAUGAAAACAUGAACAGUUUUUACUGCUUUUGUAAGCAAAAGUGCGUGAAAGAAAAAAUGUGUUCUUUAGUGAAAAGUUGAGUCCCUUAUAAUCAGGAGGUAAAAAUCAAAACCAGCUGAGGCAGCUACCUUACUCCUCAACUCACCCACAAGUUAUCAUAUGGAAUACUUUUAUCCCCCCAAACAUUCAUUUCAUAUGUGUAAGAAUAUUUCCAAAAAUAUUUAAGUACUUUCUAAUCAGCAAUAGGGGACAUCAGUGAGAAACGAGCACCUCAGAAGGACUGGACACUGAACAAGCAUCCACUUAAAAAAGCAAAUUGCCAAACAAGUGGAAAGAAUGAUGUUAUUUCUCUCUGCACUUUGGUCUAUAAAUGAAUGACUUAAAAGCAAGUUGGGAAGCAAAGUUAAAGAAGCUCUAGAAAUUCCAUGAUGGUUAAAGGGUAUUUUGUAAACUGAAGACUAUUUGAAAGCCCCAUAAUUUCCUCUUAAUAAGCAUUUGCAUACUUUUAAAAGGGAUGACUUCAUAAUAAUAGCCAAAAUGCCUUGGAUGAAUGACUAUUAAAAUUAAGUUCACCUUAUUUGAACCAUGGGGAGAAAAGGUCAAAAUGAAGUCCUCUCCUUUUGCUUUUAAGUGCUUUUACUGAUAGAAGCCUCAAUUACCUCUGUCGGCUUUGAACCCACAGCUCCCAUAGACUUGUCCGCGGCCAGCCUAUGCUGUAGGUCAGAGGGAGGCUGCCACAGCUUCAGCACCAGGGACAGCAAAGAACUCAGGCCCAAACAGCAGGUACUUCCACACCAAACACUUUAUAUGCAAAAUUGUGUAAGGUUUAGUAACUAUUAGUGUGUUUCAGGCAGCGGACUGCCGGCUAAGGCAUUGUUUUCCUUUCCAAGACUGCCCAGUAGAACUACACUGCAUAGUGCCAAACACUCAGUGAAUGACUGGAUGUUGUCCUGGACACAGGACAAACUGUCCAGGAAGAAACCGUGCUACCACUGGAAGAAGAGGUGGAAAAGAUGCAGGAAGUCACAAACAGGAACAUGGCUUCCUCACAGAGACAUCUCAUCCUGAGCCAGGAGCCAGCACUCUGAGACAACCAAGUGAGCAAAGCACCAAGCAGAUAUUGGACACAUACUCUCUGUGGCAUAGGAAGGGGCUCCAGGUAAUGCCAAUGCCUGAUUGGGGCACCUCGUGGGCUGCUUUUCCAUGAGUGGAAAUGGGUUCCCUGGGCCACCACGCUUGUGACCACAGUAGGACAACUGAAUGGAGUGAGGGGUCUCAUCCUGGUGGCAGAAUAUGUAAAGUGAUGAGAAGAAAAUCCCCAUAAUUGUUAAUAAUUAGAACUACGCACAAAAAUUUCACUCAUUUCUUCCCUGACAUGAUCUGGAGCUUAAAUGACCUUGCAAACUUACCAAUAUUCCUUCUCCCACAGGGAGAACCAUAACCUCGAUGGUUUCUAGAUAAUCACUCAACCCACUGGCCUGACAAUCUGUAAGGCAAUGUGAAACAAGGCUAAAAAACAUCAUUGGCUCCAUUUCAGCCUAACACUGGCUCAGAGAAGGACAGCAAAUGAGUCUUAGGGAAAUGCAAUUCUGUAAAACAGAGCAGUUACAAGGCCAUAGAAGCUCAGAAUUAUUACCCACAUCCAUUCUCACUUUAAGACAAAAAGUUAAGAAUAGGAUAAUAUUUUGAUACUGACAUUCAAAUAUGAUCUGUCUGAAAAAGGCUAAUAUAUGAAAGCUUAAUGUAAGAGAACUAAAUUGAUAAUAUUUGUUCAAGCUUCAGAAUAAUGUAUUCCUC
Molecule: long non-coding RNA, 3499 nt
Filed under: Sus scrofa (pig)
Lineage: Eukaryota; Metazoa; Chordata; Mammalia; Artiodactyla; Suidae
Description: lncRNA (ENSSSCG00000057337.1)
Source: RNAcentral